Molecule: ribosomal RNA, 207 nt
Filed under: uncultured bacterium
Lineage: Bacteria
Description: partial 16S ribosomal RNA
Rfam family: Bacterial small subunit ribosomal RNA
Source: RNAcentral
CGCGUAGGCGGUUUGUUAAGUCAGCUGUGAAAGCCCCGGGCUCAACCUGGGAACUGCAGUUGAUACUGGCCGACUAGAGUACGAGAGAGGGAGGUAGAAUUCCACGUGUAGCGGCGAAAUGCGUAGAUAUGUGGAGGAAUACCGGUGGCGAAGGCGGCCUCCUGGCUCGAUACUGACGCUGAGGUGCGAAAGCGUGGGGAGCAAACA